Non-coding RNA from Macaca mulatta (Rhesus monkey), 2012 nucleotides. The record is from RefSeq and is a predicted model, not a curated record. Lineage: Eukaryota; Metazoa; Chordata; Mammalia; Primates; Cercopithecidae.
ACCCGCCUUGGCCUCCCAAAGUGCUGGGAUUACAGGCAUGAGCCACCGCACCUGACCUCUCCUAGGUGUUUUAAACACCCUGCCUUGGACUAGUGGGUAAAGGUUAAAAGGAGAGAGGACUCAGGACGGGAAAGGGCUUUACCUGAUGGAGACAAGAUGCUCAAGAACAGUAGUGGGAAUGUGGUUGGUUUGGAGAGAGCUGGUUCCAAGUGGAAGAUGCUACAGGGAGGACAGCAGAGUCACCCGUUGUGCCGAGGACAGCCUCUGAUCUUUGAGGACAGCCUCUGAUCUUUGAGGACAGCCUCUGAUCUUCGAGGACAGCCUCUGAUCUUCGAGGACAGCUAUCAUUUGCCUCUGAGAACCACAUGAACCCUAACACGAAAACAUCUAAGGAGCAGAAACUUCGGGGGAACACUUUCUGUCUCCUCUUAUUCUCAUUUAAUAGGGAAUCAGCCUGGUAGAAGGGAAAGCGAUCUAGACCAGGAGUCUGGAGGCCCAGGCUCAGCUCUGCCUUUAAACAGUUGCAUGUCUUGGUCAAAUAAUUUCCCUUCUCACGCAUCUUUUUUUUUUUUUUUUUUAUUCUGUCAAACCAGAUUGCUGGGACUAGAUCAUCCCCGAGAUCCCUUCCAGCUUUGACACUCUGUGAGUCUAAUAUCCUGAAAAAGUGGUGUAAGAAGUUGCAUAGCUACCAAAAGGAGCAUGCAGGUGCUGAGUCAGGCAGACCUGAGUUUACAUCCAGUGCCAGCUCUUACUAGGUACAGGUGGUGCUUACAGAAAUGCUUGGAGCCACGAAAAUCUGUUUCCUCUUCUCAGAUGUCCUGCAUCUUGAGCCAGUUCUUCCACCUGGGGCUGCAAGGGCAUCUCCUAGUCUGGCCGUUAUCCCCAUUCCUCUGUCAGCUCCCAGGGUUCUCAACAAUGAGAACAUGAGUGAGGGGAAGUUGACUUAUACCCUGAGGAGCCGGAGCCAAAAAGAAAGCCUGCCAGUCCUCGGAUGAAUACGUCCCAUUACGUUUGUCAGCCUAGGACCUUGGGAUCCAGCAGCCCUUCAUUUCUGAACCCUCUUUGACGGGGGAGCAGCAGCUGUGAGUCAGGCUGACUGCCUCUACACCUCCCCUACAAAGCUCGAGGGGUCAUGAGGAAAACUAGGGCUUCCUUCCAGCCAUCUUUCUUCUAUCCAUGGUCUUCUAUUUUGCUUACCUCCAUUCUGGGAAAUUGUGUUGUCUGCACUGUAGUGGCACAUAUAGGUCCUUUGACAAGCAAACAACUGUUUACCAUGUUUCUGAAAGAACUUGGAGAACCCUCAUCCCUGCUUUUUUUCUUUUUUUCUUUUUUUCUUUUUCUUUUUUUUUUUUUUUGGCCCUGCUCUUACAACAAGAUCUGUAUCAACUUCCUGGCAAGGAGGGAGGAAGCACCAGAUUCUAGGCUGUGUGUAAACAGGGAAACUGAGGCUGGGGAGGAUGAAGUAAUUGUGGAUGAAGUGGGGAUAAUAGACAAGUGCUUGUCUCUGACAACCAGCCUAAUUUUUGGCCAUAAACUCAUGCUUCUUUUUACACACUUGAGAAUUAGACAACAAAGAAGCAACAGGGUAUAUUCAGUAUGGUUAAACUCUCUGAAGUUUUUCAGGGCUGACUUGCAAAGAAGAAGUGGACAUUGUACAUAUGAAUGAGACUUUACAACCACAUGCGGGAAAGUUAGUAGAGGCUUCUAAGAGAGAACUGAAGCAGAACAGAUUCUGUGGGCUCUGAAAGCUGAGGGAGACGGCAUUGCAGAGGUGAACGGGCUGCCUGGGUUGCUCUGUAGAGUAUGUGAUCAAACCGAUUUGAAACAAAAUUUAGCUGUAAGCAUCAGUCCUGCUUUUCAUGGUUGAACUUCACAGAAUGAGAUUCUGGGAGUCAAAGGGAAUAACAUUUUAUGCUAUUUUACUGUGUAAUUCUGGGAAAGGAGCUCUUUUUCUGUGACCCAGUUUAACUUUCUAAAAAUAAAAAAAAACACCCUGAAUUCAAAGGAAGAAU